RNAcentral lists this ribosomal RNA (194 nucleotides) under uncultured bacterium. RNAcentral describes it as "partial 16S ribosomal RNA". It matches the Rfam family "Bacterial small subunit ribosomal RNA", at positions 118 to 312 of the family's 1533-position model. The record is from RNAcentral.
UGAGCAAUCUGCCCUUCACUUCGGGAUAACUCCGGGAAACCGGUGCUAAUACCGAAUACGACCACCGAUGGCAUCGUCUGGUGGUGGAAAGUUCCGGCGGUGAAGGAUGAGCUCGCGGCCUAUCAGCUUGUUGGUGGGGUAAUGGCCCACCAAGGCGACGACGGGUAGCCGGCCUGAGAGGACGAUCAGCCACA